This 444-nucleotide ribosomal RNA is filed under the name uncultured bacterium. RNAcentral describes it as "bacterial SSU rRNA". It matches the Rfam family "Bacterial small subunit ribosomal RNA", at positions 354 to 795 of the family's 1533-position model. The record is from RNAcentral.
GUGAGGAAUAUUGCGCAAUGGAGGCAACUCUGACGCAGCCAUGCCGCGUGCAGGAAGAAGGCGCUACGCGUUGUAAACUGCUUUUAACCGGGAAGAAACCCCAGGACGUGUCCUGGGUUGACGGUACCGGAGGAAUAAGCACCGGCUAACUUCGUGCCAGCAGCCGCGGUAAUACGAAGGGUGCAAGCGUUAUCCGGAUUCAUUGGGUUUAAAGGGUGCGUAGGCGGAGCGUUAAGUCAGUGGUGAAAUCCUGCAGCUUAACUGUAGACUUGCCAUUGAUACUGGCGCUCUUGAGUGCGCUUGAAGUGGGCGGAAUGUGCCGUGUAGCGGUGAAAUGCUUAGAUAUGGCACAGAACACCAAUUGCGAAGGCAGCUCACUAAGGCGAUACUGACGCUGAGGCACGAAAGCGUGGGGAUCGAACAGGAUUAGAAACCCCGGUAUCC